AUUGAACGCUGGCGGCAGGCCUAACACAUGCCAGUCGAGCGGAUGAAGGGAGCUUGCUCCUGGAUUCAGCGGCGGACGGGUGAGUAAUGCCUAGGAAUCUGCCUGGUAGUGGGGGAUAACGUCCGGAAACGGGCGCUAAUACCGCAUACGUCCUGAGGGAGAAAGUGGGGGAUCUUCGGACCUCACGCUAUCAGAUGAGCCCAGGUCGGAUUAGCUAGUUGGUGGGGUAAAGGCCUACCAAGGCGACGAUCCGUAACUGGUCUGAGAGGAUGAUCAGUCACACUGGAACUGAGACACGGUCCAGACUCCUACGGGAGGCAGCAGUGGGGAAUAUUGGACAAUGGGCGAAAGCCUGAUCCAGCCAUGCCGCGUGUGUGAAGAAGGUCUUCGGAUUGUAAAGCACUUUAAGUUGGGAGGAAGGGCAGUAAGUUAAUACCUUGCUGUUUUGACGUUACCAACAGAAUAAGCACCGGCUAACUUCGUG
RNAcentral lists this ribosomal RNA (484 nucleotides) under uncultured bacterium. RNAcentral describes it as "partial 16S ribosomal RNA". It matches the Rfam family "Bacterial small subunit ribosomal RNA", at positions 30 to 507 of the family's 1533-position model. The record is from RNAcentral.